UACGUAGGGGGCAAGCGUUGUCCGGAUUUAUUGGGCGUAAAGCGCGCGCAGGCGGUCUGCCAAGUUCGGAGUGACAGUUUCCGGCUUAACCGGAAAAGGUCUUCGAAAACUGGUGGACUUGAGGACUUGAGGGGGAGACGGAAUUCCGGGUGGAGCGGUGAAAUGCGUAGAUAUCGUUUGGAACGCCAAUGGUGAAAACAGGUCGCUGGGGAUGAGCUGACGCUGAGACACGAAAGCCAGGGGAGCAAACGGG
This 253-nucleotide ribosomal RNA is filed under the name uncultured bacterium. Its description in RNAcentral is "partial 16S ribosomal RNA". It matches the Rfam family "Bacterial small subunit ribosomal RNA", at positions 524 to 776 of the family's 1533-position model. The record is from RNAcentral.